RNAcentral lists this long non-coding RNA (392 nucleotides) under Nicotiana benthamiana. RNAcentral describes it as "long non-coding RNA (NBEN_LNC041721)". The record is from RNAcentral. Lineage: Eukaryota; Viridiplantae; Streptophyta; Magnoliopsida; Solanales; Solanaceae.
GCGUUUAUUACACAUAAUUUCUUUGAAUAACUGAUAUUGUACCCCAUAUAAAAUUGUCUUAACCAAUGCCUUCAAACUCUCAAGAGGAAAUAGCACAGGAAGAGUAAAAUACAGAAAUAAUGACAUAGGCUGAUGCAGUUAAAUUGAACCCUGCAUUUUUUACUAGGGGUGUACAUAUGUGAAAAUCACUACAAUACGAAAAAUGUUAAAUCCUGAACCCAUACUUUCAAAGGUGUAAUGAAUUCAAUGGUAAGAACCUAAAGGGUACUAGAGUGUUCAUAUGUGAAAAUCACUACAAUAUGAAAAAUAUUAAAUUGUGAACCCAUAGUGUCAAAAGUGUAAUGGAUUCAGUGGUAAGAACCUAAAGGUUGAACCCAUCAAAUUUAAAUCUU